Molecule: transfer RNA, 88 nt
Filed under: Pseudomonadales bacterium
Lineage: Bacteria; Pseudomonadati; Pseudomonadota; Gammaproteobacteria; Pseudomonadales
Also listed under: 2 other names
Description: tRNA-Ser
Rfam family: tRNA
About the family: Transfer RNA (tRNA) molecules are approximately 80 nucleotides in length. Their secondary structure includes four short double-helical elements and three loops (D, anti-codon, and T loops). Further hydrogen bonds mediate the characteristic L-shaped molecular structure. tRNAs have two regions of fundamental functional importance: the anti-codon, which is responsible for specific mRNA codon recognition, and the 3' end, to which the tRNAs corresponding amino acid is attached (by aminoacyl-tRNA synthetases). tRNAs cope with the degeneracy of the genetic code in two manners: having more than one tRNA (with a specific anti-codon) for a particular amino acid; and 'wobble' base-pairing, i.e. permitting non-standard base-pairing at the 3rd anti-codon position.
Source: RNAcentral
GGAGAGGUGUCCGAGCGGUCGAAGGAGCACGCCUGGAAAGUGUGUGUACGGAAACGUACCGAGGGUUCGAAUCCCUCCCUCUCCGCCA